AGACGGAGGGCGCAAGCGUUGUUCGGAAUUACUGGGCGUAAAGGGCAGGUAGGUGGUUUGUUAAGUCUUCUGUGAAAAUCCGGGGCUCAACCCCGCGAAAUGCAGGUGAAACUGGCAGACUUGAGACCGGUAGAGGCUAGCGGAAUUCCUGGUGUAGCGGUGGAAUGCGUAGAUAUCAGGAAGAACACCUGUGGCGAAGGCGGCUAGCUGGGCCGGUUCUGACACUGAGCUGCGAAAGCGUGGGGAGCAAACAGGAUUAGAAACCCCAGUAGUCC
RNAcentral lists this ribosomal RNA (275 nucleotides) under uncultured bacterium. RNAcentral's name for it is "partial 16S ribosomal RNA". It matches the Rfam family "Bacterial small subunit ribosomal RNA", at positions 523 to 796 of the family's 1533-position model. The record is from RNAcentral.